This 1111-nucleotide long non-coding RNA is filed under the name Fragaria vesca (wild strawberry). RNAcentral's name for it is "long non-coding RNA (FVES_LNC001558)". The record is from RNAcentral. Lineage: Eukaryota; Viridiplantae; Streptophyta; Magnoliopsida; Rosales; Rosaceae.
UAGCUGGUGGUAGUAGUUUUUGUGUUCGUCGGAAACCUCACAAUAGUAGCUUUUGUAGGCGGUGAUAGUAGCUUUUGUAGGCGGUGCUAGUAGCUUUUGUGGCUGGUGGUAGUAUUUUUUGUGUUCGUCGGAAAUCUCACAGUAGUAGCUUUUGUAGGCGGUGGUAGUAGCUUUUGUGGCUGGUGGUAGUAGCUUUUGUGUUCGUCGAAAACCUCACAGUAGUAGCUUUUGUAAGCGGUGGUAGUAGUUUUUGUGGCUGGUAGUAGUAGCUUUUAUAGGCGGUGGUAGUAGCUUUGUAGCUGGUGGUAGUAGCUUUUAUAGCUGGUAGUAGUAAUUUUUGUCAUCGUCAGAGGUCGGUCGGAAAUCUCGCCGGAGGUCGGCCGGAAACCUCGCCUGAGGUCUGCCUGAAACCUCGCCAGAGGUCCGCCGGAGACUGUUCCGAAAUGAGAGUGAUUGUUGACUUUUUAUACUAGUGGCAUUCUUGUAAAUAUAAAGGAGAAAAUCUAAUUUUUUUUGUUGGAUAGCAGUCUGUAAUUAUGUUGAACUUCAAUACUUAAUACAAAACCUUAUUUAGAUUUGAGUGGACUUAUGUGGGUAAAAAUGUUAGGGUGGAUCUAUGUGGAAAAAAAUGUCUCAAAAUGGACUUAUAUGUAAUUGGCCCUAUAAUUUAUGAGACAUUGGAAGAAACUAACAAGGUGGAACUUACUGAAAAAUAUUGACAACAUUUGAUUGAUGAAUUGGAGUACCUAAUGAUCGUUGACACUUUUAAUAUAUUGAUAUUUGAUCAAUGUACUGCUUUCAAAAUUUAGAGCGUCUAAUAGUCUCCAAAAUUGAAACCCAAAAUGUUGCUAUGAACACUGCUUCAUCUUUAUUAAUAUAUGAUGGAACUUGACUAUAUUAGAACUAGCUCUUAGUGUGUAGCUCCUUUUGUGAAAAACUUCUUGGUUCUAGUCCAACAACAAUGUCUAUUAAAAAAUUUUUGGUUCUAAUAAUUAGACUCAAACUCCAUUGAGAUUAGUUUAAAUCAUUGAGGACAACAUGAAGCUUGCGAGAAUGUUCAACUGUUCAACUUCAGACACGUUGGGCAUAAUAUUGUUGGUAUCAGAAUCUG